UCAACAGGAAUGAUCUCUCUUGGUGUUUCCUUGUUCAGGUUUAGUUUCACUUUCUCUGACAGUUGCGCCACAGGCUCCCUGUGGCGCAGAUAAAUUUCUACAUCCAGCUGAAGGUAACGAAACCGCUUUAAAUGUUUGAGUCGUUACUUAAAGCUGUUGUUAACUUAGUUACACUAGAAACAACACAUUACUGUGGCUAAACUGUUUAUUAAUCAGAGCUCAGCAUUAACUGUAAUUAAAUUUGGGACGACGGAGAAACAACCGCCAUUAAAAUUUAUUUUGUGUCGAUAUUUGAGGAGUUUGUGAUUUGAGUUGAUGGUCAGUAUUUGAACACAGUGUUGUUAUUACUGUGUCCAACACUUACUGAUGACUGACAGCAGGUUUUCCUGCCUGAUUCAGCCUGUGGAGGAGGCGGAGAUGAGCCGCUGCUCUCCCCGCUGUCUGAGACACUAAAUGCGGCUCCGCUCGGCCGGACAGCCGCUGAAGAACAGCUUUGACUUUCUGUGUCUACAGGUGGAGCUCUGACUCGUUCCAGGAAACAGCUCACCUGGCAAACACGUUUCUGACGGACGUGGAGUGGAGAGUCUUUGUCUUCAGCAGUUUGGAUGUUAACUAUGAAGGUAGAAAGUGUGUGUGACUGAUGUGGAUGUGACUUCAGCAGCAUGGAUCAGUGUGAGGACAGAGAGGAGGGAGUCCCUCCCUCUAAACGCUCUCGGUGUGGGGAACAUGACAGCCAGACCAAAGCUCAGAGGAGAACAAGGACACAGCACAAACCAGACUCUGCUGGACCUGAACCUGAACCUGAACCUGAACCCAGCUGUGUGUCCUUCAAGAGCGACGAAUCAAUGCAACCACCAUUAGCUUUCAAAAAUCAACAUUCUUCACAGAAAGAAGUGGACCAGGAGAGCUCAGAGGUUCC
Molecule: long non-coding RNA, 919 nt
Organism: Thunnus maccoyii (southern bluefin tuna)
Lineage: Eukaryota; Metazoa; Chordata; Actinopteri; Scombriformes; Scombridae
Exons: 5
Source: RefSeq, a predicted model, not a curated record